This is a long non-coding RNA of Mytilus californianus (California mussel), 982 nucleotides long. RefSeq lists it as uncharacterized. The record is from RefSeq and is a predicted model, not a curated record. Lineage: Eukaryota; Metazoa; Mollusca; Bivalvia; Mytilida; Mytilidae. The transcript is spliced from 5 exons.
CACACAUUGACAUACAAGUAACAAACUUCAUCAAUGUGACGUACACAAUUAAAGGUUAAGUAAACUUCAUAGCUUACAGAGACACAUGAGAAUACAUACAUUGACAUACAAGUGACAAACUUCAUCAAUGUGACGUACACAAUUAAAGGUUAAGUAAACUUCAUAGCUUACAGCAACACAUGAGAAUACAUACGUUGACAUACAAGUGACAAACUUCAUCAAUGUGACGUACACAAUUAAAGGUUAAGUAAACUUCAUAGCUUACAGUAACACAUGAGAAUACACACAUUGACAUACAAGUGACAAACUUCAUCAAUGUGACGUACACAAUUAAAGGUUAAGUAAACUUCAUAGCUUACAGAGACACAUGAGAAUACAUACAUUGACAUACAAAUGACAAACUUCAUCAAUGUGACGUACAGAUCCGUACACAAUAAAGGGUUAAGUAAACUUCAUAGCUUACAGAGACACAUGAGAAUACAUACAUUGACAUACAAGUAACAAACGUCAUCAAUGUGACGUACACAAUUAAAGGUUAAGUAAACUUCAUAGCUUACAGAGACACAUGAGAAUACAUACAUUGACAUACAAGUGACAAACUUCAUCAAUGUGACGUUCACAAUUAAAGGUUAAGUAAACUUCAUAGCUUACAGUAACACAUGAGAAUACAUACAUUGACAUACAAGUGACAAACUUCAUCAAUGUGACGUACACAAUUAAAGGUUAGGUAAACUUCAUAGCUUAUAGAAACACACGAGAAUUCAUACAUUGACAUAAAUGUGACAAACUUCAUCAAUGUGACGUACAGAUCCGUACACAAUAAAAGGCUAAGUAAACUUCAUAGCUUACAGAGACACACGAAACAUAUAUACCAGACUUAAUAAACCUUAUAAUUGUUUGUAUAUAAACUAUUCGUUCAUUACCAUGUAUCAUGUUUAUUUUGUACUUAAUAUAAAUCAGGCCUUUAAAUUUCUCCUUUGAA